This 113-nucleotide ribosomal RNA is filed under the name Caerostris darwini. Lineage: Eukaryota; Metazoa; Arthropoda; Arachnida; Araneae; Araneidae. The record is from RNAcentral.
AACGGUCAUACUAUGCUGAAUAUACUGGUUCACGUUAGAUCACCGAAGUCAAGCAUUACUGGGCGCGGUCAGUACUUGGGUGGGGGGACCACCUGGGAACACCGCGUGCCGUU